AGUAACGCGUGGGUAACCUGCCUUAUACUGGGGGAUAACAGCCAGAAAUGACUGCUAAUACCGCAUAAGCGCACAGAACCGCAUGGUUCGGUGUGAAAAACUCCGGUGGUAUAAGAUGGACCCGCGUUGGAUUAGCUAGUUGGCAGGGCAGCGGCCUACCAAGGCGACGAUCCAUAGCCGGCCUGAGAGGGUGAACGGCCACAUUGGGACUGAGACACGGCCCAG
RNAcentral lists this ribosomal RNA (225 nucleotides) under uncultured bacterium. RNAcentral describes it as "partial 16S ribosomal RNA". It matches the Rfam family "Bacterial small subunit ribosomal RNA", at positions 109 to 334 of the family's 1533-position model. The record is from RNAcentral.